GGUGAGGUAACCUUUUGGAGCCAGCCGCCGAAGGUGGGACAGAUGAUUGGGGUGAAGUCGUAACAAGGUAGCCGUAUCGGAAGGUGCGGCUGGAUCACCUCCUUUCUAAGGAA
Molecule: ribosomal RNA, 113 nt
Filed under: Heyndrickxia sporothermodurans
Lineage: Bacteria; Bacillati; Bacillota; Bacilli; Caryophanales; Bacillaceae
Description: partial 16S ribosomal RNA
Rfam family: Bacterial small subunit ribosomal RNA
Source: RNAcentral